GGCUCGGUAGCUUAGUUGGUAAAGCGCUCGUCUAGCAUACAAGAGUCCUGGGUUCAAAUCCCAGCCGAACAC
Molecule: non-coding RNA, 72 nt
Organism: Aedes aegypti (yellow fever mosquito)
Lineage: Eukaryota; Metazoa; Arthropoda; Insecta; Diptera; Culicidae
Source: Rfam